RNAcentral lists this long non-coding RNA (298 nucleotides) under Populus trichocarpa (black cottonwood). RNAcentral describes it as "long non-coding RNA (PTRI_LNC001088)". The record is from RNAcentral. Lineage: Eukaryota; Viridiplantae; Streptophyta; Magnoliopsida; Malpighiales; Salicaceae.
CCGUAAACAAAAUUGUUGAGCGGAUGCACACUCCAAUCAAACGAUGAGGCGUACACGAUGUAGUUUGUACUGUAUGCUCUGCUCCAUUAGGAAUCCUUCGUUCUCCGACCAAAAUAACUCAUGUCUGUGUUGUUUUUGUUUUAAGAUGCAAAUACGUGUCCAAGAUGCUCGGUCCAUGAAUGCUAGUUGUCUUCGACUUGGGGAAUUUUUAUAGUUGAGUUUUGGUGGACUUCAAACAUUGGCAUGGCCACUUUGUUUUUGGAACAUGGCUUGGCAAAUUGUGCAUCGGUAAUUGAAG